AUGACGUCAAAUCAGCAUGGUUCUUACACCUUGGGCUACACACGUGCUACAAUGGGAGGUACAGAGGGAUGCCAAACCGCGAGGUGGAGCAAAUCCCAAAAAACCUUUCUCAGUUCGGAUCGGAGUCUGCAAUUCGACUCCGUGAAGCUGGAAUCGCUAGUAAUCGUAGGUCAGCUAUACUACGGUGAAUACGUUCUCGGGUCUUGUACUCACAAAAUCUGCGCCGGGCAGGUUAAUUUACCAAGUGGUUAAAAUCCACUCCUCCUUUGUCCGUCAAAGGAGCGUAGCUAAAAGAUAGUCAACAACCGCGAGGGUGUUGGCGGAAGGAUCUGGAAGCAAACAGCAGCCUAAAUAUACAAAACGAGAAAUCGACCUAAGAUUGGGUGGUGAGCCUAGGGAAGAUUUCAAAAAACGUUUUAGGAUGUUGGGAAGGGAAAAUUAAUUAACCCCGGGAGAUCUGAUGUUGCGAUAUCACUGUUAAAGUGAUAUAAUUGAACUAACGCAGCGUCAGAAGUCAGCUGGUUCGUAGUACUUCAAUUUUGAAGGAAGGAACCUCUCUAAUACUAUGUUAAAUGUCAAUUACAUAAAAGAAAAUAAGCAUUUAACGCUUUUUGGUUUAGUCAAAUUGUAUAAACUAAAACAGAAAAUGCAUUAGAGCUCGCUCAGUGCGGGAAAUCCGCUCGCUGAGUGGGAACAUCAAUUUCUACGUUCAUAGAAAGAUAAUCGCCCGUCAAGUCAAGGGAGUCGGCAAUACCCGAAGUCCCCUUUCAGGGGCCGAAGGUAGGGUCGGCGACAAGGACUAAGUCGUAACAAGGCAUCCGUAGCGGAAGCUGUGGAUGGAUCACCUCCUUU
Molecule: ribosomal RNA, 852 nt
Filed under: Candidatus Falkowbacteria bacterium CG1_02_41_21
Lineage: Bacteria; Candidatus Falkowiibacteriota
Description: bacterial SSU rRNA
Rfam family: Bacterial small subunit ribosomal RNA (bases 1-265)
Source: RNAcentral